UCUCACGAUUUGUGUUCAUCAGCAAACUCAUCUUUCGCCUUUUACUAAAGAUGACUGUGGAUACAGAUCACCACGUGACAGCAUAAUUUUUCCAAGGGCUUGAUGCCUU
This is a non-coding RNA of Diplonema papillatum, 109 nucleotides long. The record is from the annotation of a GenBank genome assembly. NCBI's taxonomy places the organism in Eukaryota, Euglenozoa, Diplonemea, Diplonemida, Diplonemidae.